RNAcentral lists this small RNA (226 nucleotides) under Arabidopsis thaliana (thale cress). RNAcentral's name for it is "ATSL262790". Lineage: Eukaryota; Viridiplantae; Streptophyta; Magnoliopsida; Brassicales; Brassicaceae. The record is from RNAcentral.
AUAAAACAAACAAUUGAUGAGUUAUAUAAAUGAUUAUCUUCAAUAUUAUAUAGCUUAAGUAGUUAAGUUAAUAUAUAUAAUUUAAGAUGGAUUAAAAAAACAAUUUUGUCAAAUUUCUAAAUUAUAUUAAUAUAGUACAAACAUAACCUUAGCAAAUGUGAAUGGUAGAGCAUUUCUGAAGGCAUCUCCAUCGGUGGUAUCUCUCAUUGUUUCUCAUAAUUAAAAU